RNAcentral lists this ribosomal RNA (273 nucleotides) under uncultured bacterium. Its description in RNAcentral is "partial 16S ribosomal RNA". It matches the Rfam family "Bacterial small subunit ribosomal RNA", at positions 524 to 796 of the family's 1533-position model. The record is from RNAcentral.
UACGUAGGUGGCAAGCGUUGUCCGGAUUUAUUGGGUUUAAAGGGUGCGUAGGCGGCCCUGUAAGUCAGUGGUGAAAUACUCUAGCUUAACUAGAGGGGUGCCAUUGAUACUGCAGGGCUUGAGUACAGACGAGGUAGGCGGAAUUGACGGUGUAGCGGUGAAAUGCAUAGAUAUCGUCAAGAACUCCGAUAGUGAAGACAGCUUACUAGGCUGUAACUGACGCUGAGGCACGAAAGUGUGGGGAUCAAACAGGAUUAGAUACCCCCGUAGUCC